Molecule: long non-coding RNA, 1791 nt
Organism: Ictalurus punctatus (channel catfish)
Lineage: Eukaryota; Metazoa; Chordata; Actinopteri; Siluriformes; Ictaluridae
Source: Ensembl
UAAACGUUAAUAUAUCUGUGAUUGAUUCCGAAACCAUCCUUGAUACGUGACGGAACGAAAGACCUUCAAUCGGAAGCAGCAGAUCGCCAGGAUGGAGAACUGGGGCGUCAGGAUGCCACCGAUGUUAGUGGAGUACUUCGCCACACUACGCCAAGUGGCGGAGGAGUACCAGUCUGCAAUACGAAAGCAGCAGGUCGCCAGGAAUUACCUGGCCUUCAACUCACCUCCCAUGUUCAUGAAGGACUACACCACGCCACGGCAACUGGAGGAGGAGUCCGGGUACAAGGAGGAGUCUGUGGUCGGGGCUAAUACCAUCUCCCACCCUCCCUCCCCUAUUAUGGAUCUAGUUCAGCAAGCAGAGUCAGCAGAGAACGAAAGUCAGCCUCCCUGCUCGUCUGAGGACGCCGCUCAGCAUUUCAGCUCAGCUGAGGAUUCCGCUCAGUCACUCGGGUUGGCUGAAGAUGUUGCUCCGUUUCCUGACAUGCCCAAGUACUUCCCUCUGUUCAACAACCCCGCACUCGAUGCCGCUCUGCUCUCAUGUUCAGCUGAGGUCGUCGCUCUGCCUUCAUGUUCAGCUGAGGACGUCGCUCUGCCUUCAUGUUCAGCUGAGGACGUCGCUCUGCCUUCAUGUUCAGCUGAGGUCGUCGCUCUGCCUUCCUGCACCGCUGAGUACGCCGCUCUGUUUGCCUGCACCGCUGAGGACGCCGCUCUGUUUGCCUGCACCGCUGAGGACGCCGCUCUGUUUGCCUGCACCGCUGAGGACGCCGCUCCGUUUGCCUGCACCGCUGAGGACACCGCUCCGCCUGCCUGCUCGGCUGAGGACGUCGCUCCGCCUACCUGCUCGGCUGAGGACGUCGCUCUGCUGAGGUCGUCGCUCUGCCAUUCUCUGCCAUGUCGCUCUGCCUCCAUGUUCCGCUGAAGACGUUGUUCCUCUUCUUUGCUGCGUGCCAUAUGUCACUCUCCCAUCCUGCUCCACGGAGGACAUCGUUCCCCCCUCAUGCUCCACGGAGAGCAUCGUUCCUCCCUUUGGCCUCACGGACAACUUCGCUCCGCUCCCUGGCCUCGUGGAGAACCUCACUCCCCUCUAUGGCCUUGCGGAAAUCUUUGAGCUUCCCUUGGACUUCGUGGAGAACAUUGCUCCCCUCUCCUGUCCUGCUGAGGAAGCUAUCCUGCUGCCCUGUCCUGCUGAGGAAGUUAUCCUGCUCUCCUGUCCUGCAGAGGAAGUUGUCCCGCUGUUCUGCCACGCAGAUGUCGCUCCACUUACCUGUUCUGCCGAGGACGUCGCUCCGCUUUCCUGCUCCGCCGAGGACAUCCCUCUGCUUUCCUGCACUGCUGAGUAUGUCCUUCUGCCUCUCUGCUCCGUUGUGGACGCCGCUCAGCCUCCUAGUUUUGCUGGGGACAUUUUGCCCAGGGGGCCGGGACCACCAGAUGGAGGGCGUGUAUUUUUAGGCGCUCUGAGAGAAGCGCCCUUGGGGGGGGUUCUGUCAUAUAUCAGGAAACUCUGGACUCCAGUUCCCAUCAGCCACUGCACUACAUGUCACAUGACCACCUGCACCUGAUUCACGUUUUGGUAAUGAGCACACUUGUGUGUAUACAUCGCCAUGGUUUGCUCUGUCUUUCGAUGUCUUAGACUUCUGUCUUUCAUGUCACUGUGUUUUGUUUCUUGCCAUAGUGUUUUGUUUCUUGCCAUAAUGUUUUGCCUAGUUGUCUUAGUGUCUUUGUUUUUUUGAUUAAUUGUUUAAUAAACGUUAAUAUAUCUGUGAUUGCUUCCGAACCCAUCCUUGAUACGUG